Molecule: transfer RNA, 94 nt
Filed under: Pyrobaculum calidifontis JCM 11548
Lineage: Archaea; Thermoproteati; Thermoproteota; Thermoprotei; Thermoproteales; Thermoproteaceae
Description: tRNA-Gly
Rfam family: tRNA
About the family: Transfer RNA (tRNA) molecules are approximately 80 nucleotides in length. Their secondary structure includes four short double-helical elements and three loops (D, anti-codon, and T loops).
Source: RNAcentral
GCGGCGGUAGUCUAGCCUGGUUUAGGAUGGCGAGGGCGCAGCCCCCACACGCCUGCCAAGCCGUUGAUCCCGGGUUCAAAUCCCGGCCGCCGCA